GAAUUCGCCCUUAGAGUUUGAUCCUGGCUCAGGACGAACGCUGGCGGCGCGCCUAACACAUGCAAGUCGAACGAGCGAGAGAGAGCUUGCUUUCUCGAGCGAGUGGCGAACGGGUGAGUAACGCGUGAGGAACCUGCCUCAAAGAGGGGGACAACAGUUGGAAACGACUGCUAAUACCGCAUAAGCCCACAGGUCGGCAUCGACCAGAGGGAAAAGGAGCAAUCCGCUUUGAGAUGGCCUCGCGUCCGAUUAGCUAGUUGGUGAGGUAACGGCCCACCAAGGCAACGAUCGGUAGCCGGACUGAGAGGUUGAACGGCCACAUUGGGACUGAGACACGGCCCAGACUCCUACGGGAGGCAGCAGUGGGGAAUAUUGCACAAUGGGGGAAACCCUGAUGCAGCGACGCCGCGUGGAGGAAGAAGGUCUUCGGAUUGUAAACUCCUGUUGUUGAGGAAGAUAAUGACGGUACUCAACAAGGAAGUGACGGCUAACUACGUGCCAGCAGCCGCGGUAAAACGUAGGUCACAAGCGUUGUCCGGAAUUACUGGGUGUAAAGGGAGCGCAGGCGGGAAGACAAGUUGGAAGUGAAAUCUAUGGGCUCAACCCAUAAACUGCUUUCAAAACUGUUUUUCUUGAGUAGUGCAGAGGUAGGCGGAAUUCCCGGUGUAGCGGUGGAAUGCGUAGAUAUCGGGAGGAACACCAGUGGCGAAGGCGGCCUACUGGGCACCAACUGACGCUGAGGCUCGAAAGUGUGGGUAGCAAACAGGAUUAGAUACCCUGGUAGUCCACACCGUAAACGAUGAUUA
RNAcentral lists this ribosomal RNA (806 nucleotides) under uncultured bacterium. Its description in RNAcentral is "bacterial SSU rRNA". It matches the Rfam family "Bacterial small subunit ribosomal RNA", at positions 1 to 815 of the family's 1533-position model. The record is from RNAcentral.